UAAUUUUCUUUUCUUUUUUAACAGAUUUUGGCUGAAUUCACAAGAAUUGCCAUAUAGAUAUACAAGAAACAAUCAGAAGUGGUUGCCUAAAAGCAUCUGAAGCAGUGCUUCUCCUCAUCAAAAACAAGAAGAAAGUAUCACAGGCAGUAUGGGAUAGUUACUCCAGAAUAUCAGAGACAAAAUAAUGAAUCCAGAGUCGAGGUAACAUUACUAGCACUUCCAGAACUCAAUGAAUAAUCAACAGUUUCCUGGUUCAUGAUGAGGUCCAUAUAUGUGACUCGCCAGUCAUAAUAAAGAAGGAGGAGUAUAUUCUCAGAAUUGACUCAGGAUAUUACAAGUAGCAUGACACUAACCAGAACAAUAAUGUGCUUUGUUGCCAGCUUUUAUGUAUUCAAUCUUUCAUACCCAAAGCUCUGCAGAAAAUUUUUGUCCUUCAUUCAAAGGGUAAUCCUGAAGAUUUCGGAUAGUGGAAAAGUAGACAAAUCUAUCUUACUUCUCAAUGAGAAAAUAUAUAACAAAACUACUCGUAGUAUAAAUUAAAUAUUUAAGAUGAUGCCCUUUUUUGUGUUAUAGUAACAUGAAAUAAGAUCCUACAA
Molecule: long non-coding RNA, 596 nt
Organism: Portunus trituberculatus (swimming crab)
Lineage: Eukaryota; Metazoa; Arthropoda; Malacostraca; Decapoda; Portunidae
Exons: 3
Source: RefSeq, a predicted model, not a curated record